GAGUCUAGCAUGUGCGCGAGUCAUUGGGAUUCGUUGCUAAACCUAAAGGCGAAAUGAAAGUGAAGGCGCGCCUCGCGCGCGCCGAGGGAGGAUGGGCGCGAUUCUCGUCGUCGCCUCGCACUCCCGGGGCGUCUCGUUCUCAUCGCGAGAAGAGGCGCACCCAGAGCGUACACGCUGGGACCCGAAAGAUGGUGAACUAUGCCUGGUCAGGACGAAGUCAGGGGAAACCCUGAUGGAGGUCCGUAGCGAUUCUGACGUGCAAAUCGAUCGUCGGAACUGGGUAUAGGGGCGAAAGACUAAUCGAACCAUCUAGUAGCUGGUUCCCUCCGAAGUUUCCCUCAGGAUAGCUGGCGCUCGUAUCGAGCGAGUCUCAUCCGGUAAAGCGAAUGAUUAGAGGCAUUGGGGUCGAAACGGCCUCAACCUAUUCUCAAACUUUAAAUGGGUGAGAUCUCCGGCUUGCUUAAACGCUGAAGCCGCGAGAUCGGAUCAGAGUGCCAAGUGGGCCACUUUUGGUAAGCAGAACUGGCGCUGUGGGAUGAACCAAACGCAGAGUUAAAGCGCCUAAAUCGACGCUUAUGGGAUACCAUGAAAGGCGUUGGUAACUUAAAACAGCAGGACGGUGGCCAUGGAAG
RNAcentral lists this ribosomal RNA (632 nucleotides) under Euanoma sp. B MB-2018. RNAcentral describes it as "eukaryotic LSU rRNA". It matches the Rfam family "Eukaryotic large subunit ribosomal RNA", at positions 671 to 1260 of the family's 3401-position model. Lineage: Eukaryota; Metazoa; Arthropoda; Insecta; Coleoptera; Omalisidae. The record is from RNAcentral.